GGGCCCGUAGCUCAGAUGGCAGAGCACCGGGCUUUUAACCCGGGGGUCGCGGGUUCGAAUCCCGCCGGGCCCG
RNAcentral lists this transfer RNA (73 nucleotides) under Thermoprotei archaeon. RNAcentral's name for it is "tRNA-Lys". It matches the Rfam family "tRNA". From Rfam's summary of the family: Transfer RNA (tRNA) molecules are approximately 80 nucleotides in length. Their secondary structure includes four short double-helical elements and three loops (D, anti-codon, and T loops). Further hydrogen bonds mediate the characteristic L-shaped molecular structure. tRNAs have two regions of fundamental functional importance: the anti-codon, which is responsible for specific mRNA codon recognition, and the 3' end, to which the tRNAs corresponding amino acid is attached (by aminoacyl-tRNA synthetases). tRNAs cope with the degeneracy of the genetic code in two manners: having more than one tRNA (with a specific anti-codon) for a particular amino acid; and 'wobble' base-pairing, i.e. permitting non-standard base-pairing at the 3rd anti-codon position. Lineage: Archaea; Thermoproteati; Thermoproteota; Thermoprotei. The record is from RNAcentral.